CAGACGGGUGAGUAACGCGUGGGAACGUGCCCUUUGGUUCGGAAUAGCCCCGGGAAACUGGGAGUAAUACCGAAUGUGCCCUACGGGGGAAAGAUUUAUCGCCAAAGGAUCGGCCCGCGUUAGAUUAGCUUGUUGGUGAGGUAAUGGCUCACCAAGGCGACGAUCUAUAGCUGGUCUGAGAGGAUGAUCAGCCACACUGGGACUGAGACACGGCCCAGACUCCUACGGGAGGCAGCAGUGGGGAAUCUUGGACAAUGGGCGAAAGCCUGAUCCAGCCAUUCCGCGUGGAUGAUGAAGGCCUUAGGGUUGUAAAAUCCUUUCAGCGGGGAAGAUAAUGACUGUACCCGCAGAAGAAGCCCCGGCUAACUCCGUGCCAGCAGCCGCGGUAAUACGGAGGGGGCUAGCGUUGUUCGGAAUUACUGGGCGUAAAGCGCGCGUAGGCGGAUCAGCCAGUCAGAGGUGAAAGCCCAGGGCUCAACCCUGGAACUGCCUUUGAUACUGUUGAUCUGGAGUCCGGGAGAGGUGUGUGGAAUUCCGAGUGUAGAGGUGAAAUUCGUAGAUAUUCGGAGGAACACCAGAGGCGAAGGCGACACACUGGACC
RNAcentral lists this ribosomal RNA (601 nucleotides) under Glycocaulis albus. RNAcentral describes it as "bacterial SSU rRNA". It matches the Rfam family "Bacterial small subunit ribosomal RNA", at positions 99 to 735 of the family's 1533-position model. The record is from RNAcentral. Lineage: Bacteria; Pseudomonadati; Pseudomonadota; Alphaproteobacteria; Maricaulales; Maricaulaceae.